CCAUACCGAGCUGUAACGGAGCGCUCCGCGCGCGGGCUUUCUUUUGGG
This 48-nucleotide non-coding RNA is filed under the name unclassified sequences. Its description in RNAcentral is "ssnA RNA". It matches the Rfam family "ssnA RNA". The record is from RNAcentral.